GGUGAGUGCAGUGGCGCGUGCCUAUAGUCCAAGCUGCUCAGGAGGCUGAGGUGGGAGGAUCCCUUGAGCCCAGGAGUUCUGGGCUGUAGUGCGCUAUGCCAAUUAGGUGUCCGCGCUAAUCUGGCAUCAAUAUGGUGACCUCCCGGGAUCAGGGGACCACCAGUUUGCCUACAGAGGAGUGAACCGGCCCAGGUCGGACACGGAGCAGGUCAGAACUCCCGUGAUGAUCAGUAGUGGGAUCAUGCCUGUGAAUAGCUGCUGCACUCCAGUCUGGGCAACGUAGCGAGACCCUGUCUCU
This 298-nucleotide signal recognition particle RNA is filed under the name Saimiri boliviensis boliviensis (Bolivian squirrel monkey). RNAcentral describes it as "Metazoan signal recognition particle RNA (ENSSBOG00000005281.1)". It matches the Rfam family "Metazoan signal recognition particle RNA". From Rfam's summary of the family: The signal recognition particle (SRP) is a universally conserved ribonucleoprotein. It is involved in the co-translational targeting of proteins to membranes. Lineage: Eukaryota; Metazoa; Chordata; Mammalia; Primates; Cebidae. The record is from RNAcentral.